RNAcentral lists this ribosomal RNA (63 nucleotides) under Gilbertiodendron ogoouense. RNAcentral's name for it is "partial 26S ribosomal RNA". The record is from RNAcentral. Lineage: Eukaryota; Viridiplantae; Streptophyta; Magnoliopsida; Fabales; Fabaceae.
GAUGCGACCUCAGCUCAGGCGGGGCCACCCGCUGAGUUUAAGCAUAUCAAUAAGCGAGGAAAA